RNAcentral lists this ribosomal RNA (402 nucleotides) under Paramecium jenningsi. Its description in RNAcentral is "partial small subunit ribosomal RNA". It matches the Rfam family "Bacterial small subunit ribosomal RNA", at positions 1051 to 1533 of the family's 1533-position model. Lineage: Eukaryota; Ciliophora; Oligohymenophorea; Peniculida; Parameciidae. The record is from RNAcentral.
GUCGUCAGUUCGUGUUUUGAAAUCUAGAAUUAAGUUUUAUAAACGAACGCAACCCUUGUUUUGUAUUUACGAUACGAAAUAGAUGGUUAAGGGAUUAACCAUCUUAGGCAUAAGGCUGAAGUCAAGUCCUUACGGUCUGUGUACGCCGGGCUACACACGUGUUACAAUGGUAAAAACAAUAGAAAAAUAAAGUUCAAUCUUUAGUUUUUGAAAAAUUACCACAGUACGAAUUGUUUUCUGAAACUUGGAAGCAUGAAGAAGAAAUCGUUAGUAAUCGCAAUUAAGUAUGCUGCGGUGAAAUAUAAGUCAAGUCCUGCACACACUGCCCAUCACGCUCAAAGAGUUUCGAAUCUGGAAGCUGAAUUUAGGAUGUGACCCUACCCAUUUUUUUUUUUAAAAAAA